This 466-nucleotide ribosomal RNA is filed under the name uncultured Pseudomonadota bacterium. RNAcentral describes it as "bacterial SSU rRNA". It matches the Rfam family "Bacterial small subunit ribosomal RNA", at positions 8 to 522 of the family's 1533-position model. Lineage: Bacteria; Pseudomonadati; Pseudomonadota. The record is from RNAcentral.
AGAGUUUGAUCAUGGCUCAGAACGAACGCUGGCGGCAGGCUUAACACAUGCAAGUCGAGCGCCCCGCAAGGGGAGCGGCAGACGGGUGAGUAACGCGUGGGAAUCUACCCUUUUCUACGGAAUAACGCAGGGAAACUUGUGCUAAUACCGUAUACGCCCUUCGGGGGAAAGAUUUAUCGGGAAAGGAUGAGCCCGCGUUGGAUUAGCUAGUUGGUGGGGUAAAGGCCUACCAAGGCGACGAUCCAUAGCUGGUCUGAGAGGAUGAUCAGCCACAUUGGGACUGAGACACGGCCCAAACUCCUACGGGAGGCAGCAGUGGGGAAUAUUGGACAAUGGGCGCAAGCCUGAUCCAGCCAUGCCGCGUGAGUGAUGAAGGCCCUAGGGUUGUAAAGCUCUUUCACCGGUGAAGAUAAUGACGGUAACCGGAGAAGAAGCCCCGGCUAACUUCGUGCCAGCAGCCGCGGUA